Molecule: transfer RNA, 72 nt
Filed under: Auricularia polytricha
Lineage: Eukaryota; Fungi; Basidiomycota; Agaricomycetes; Auriculariales; Auriculariaceae
Description: tRNA-Arg
Rfam family: tRNA
About the family: Transfer RNA (tRNA) molecules are approximately 80 nucleotides in length.
Source: RNAcentral
ACAUCUUCAGCUGAAUGGUUCAGCGUUUGCCUUCGAAGCAACUGUUUAUUGGUUCGAGUCCAAUAAGAUGUU